GGGCCAUUGGCUCAGUGGGUAGGACAUCGGCCUUGCAUGCAGGGGUCCCAGGUUCAAUCUCUGGAAUCUCCA
This is a non-coding RNA of Podarcis lilfordi (Lilford's wall lizard), 72 nucleotides long. Lineage: Eukaryota; Metazoa; Chordata; Lepidosauria; Squamata; Lacertidae. The record is from the annotation of a GenBank genome assembly.